RNAcentral lists this ribosomal RNA (268 nucleotides) under uncultured bacterium. RNAcentral describes it as "partial 16S ribosomal RNA". It matches the Rfam family "Bacterial small subunit ribosomal RNA", at positions 1234 to 1500 of the family's 1533-position model. The record is from RNAcentral.
ACGGUACAACGAGUCGCAAGCUCGCGAGAGUAAGCUAAUCUCUUAAAGCCGUUCUCAGUUCGGACUGUAGGCUGCAACCCGCCUACACGAAGUCGGAAUCGCUAGUAAUCGCGGAUCAGCAUGCCGCGGUGAAUACGUUCCCGGGCCUUGUACACACCGCCCGUCACACCAUGGGAGUUUGUAACGCCCAAAGUCGGUGGCCUAACCUUUGUGGAGGGAGCCGCCUAAGGCGGGACAGAUGACUGGGGUGAAGUCGUAACAAGGUAAC